Molecule: ribosomal RNA, 492 nt
Filed under: uncultured bacterium
Lineage: Bacteria
Description: partial 16S ribosomal RNA
Rfam family: Bacterial small subunit ribosomal RNA
Source: RNAcentral
AGUGAACGCUGGCGGUAGGCCUAACACAUGCAAGUCGAACGGCAGCACAGUAAGAGCUUGCUCUUACGGGUGGCGAGUGGCGGACGGGUGAGGAAUACAUCGGAAUCUACUUUUUCGUGGGGGAUAACGUAGGGAAACUUACGCUAAUACCGCAUACGACCUACGGGUGAAAGCAGGGGAUCCUCGGACCUUGCGCGAUUGAAUGAGCCGAUGUCGGAUUAGCUAGUUGGCGGGGUAAAGGCCCACCAAGGCGACGAUCCGUAGCUGGUCUGAGAGGAUGAUCGGCCACACUGGAACUGAGACACGGUCCAGACUCCUACGGGAGGCAGCAGUGGGGAAUAUUGGACAAUGGGCGCAAGCCUGAUCCAGCCAUACCGCGUGGGUGAAGAAGGCCUUCGGGUUGUAAAGCCCUUUUGUUGGGAAAGAAAAGCAGCAGGUUAAUACCCCGCUGUUCUGACGGUACCCAAAGAAUAAGCACCGGCUAACUUCGUG